AGAGUUUGAUCCUGGCUCAGGACGAACGCUGGCGGCACGCUUAACACAUGCAAGUCGAACGAGAGAAGAGGAGCUUGCUUUUCUGAUCUAGUGGCGGACGGGUGAGUAACACGUGAGCAAUCUGCCUUUCAGAGGGGGAUACCGAUUGGAAACGAUCGUUAAUACCGCAUAACAUAAUUGAACCGCAUGAUUUGAUUAUCAAAGAUUUAUCGCUGAAAGAUGAGCUCGCGUCUGAUUAGCUAGUUGGUAAGGUAACGGCUUACCAAGGCGACGAUCAGUAGCCGGACUGAGAGGUUGAUCGGCCACAUUGGGACUGAGACUCGGCCCAGACUCCUACGGGAGGCAGCAGUGGGGAAUAUUGCACAAUGGAGGAAACUCUGAUGCAGCGAUGCCGCGUGAGGGAAGAAGGUUUUAGGAUUGUAAACCUCUGUCUUCAGGGACGAAAAAAGACGGUACCUGAGGAGGAAGCUCCGGCUAACUACGUGCCAGCAGCCGCGGUAAUACGUAGGAAGCGAGCGUUGUCCGGAAUUACUGGGUGUAAAGGGAGCGUAGGCGGGAUCGCAAGUCAGAUGUGAAAACUAUGGGCUUAACCCAUAAACUGCAUUUGAAACUGUGGUUCUUGAGUGAAGUAGAGGUAAGCGGAAUUCCUAGUGUAGCGGUGAAAUGCGUAGAUAUUAGGAGGAACAUCAGUGGCGAAGGCGGCUUACUGGGCUUUAACUGACGCUGAGGCUCGAAAGCGUGGGGAGCAAACAGGAUUAGAUACCCUGGUAGUCCACGCCGUAAACGAUGAUUACUAGGUGUGGGGGGACUGACCCCUUCCGUGCCGCAGCAAACGCAAUAAGUAAUCCACCUGGGGAGUACGACCGCAAGGUUGAAACUCAAAGGAAUUGACGGGGGCCCGCACAAGCAGUGGAGUAUGUGGAUUAAUUCGAAGCAACGCGAAGAGCCUUACCAGGUCUUGACAUCGUAUGCAUAGCUCAGAGAUGAGUGAAAUCUCUUCGGAGACAUAUAGACAGGUGGUGCAUGGUUGUCGUCAGCUCGUGUCGUGAGAUGUUGGGUUAAGUCCCGCAACGAGCGCAACCCUUACUGUUAGUUGCUACGCAAGAGCACUCUAGCAGGACUGCCGUUGACAAAACGGAGGAAGGUGGGGAUGACGUCAAAUCAUCAUGCCCCUUAUGACCUGGCCUCACACGUACUACAAUGGCUGUCAACAGAGGGAAGCAAAGCCGCGAGGUGGAGCGAACCCCUAAAAGCAGUCUUAGUUCGGAUUGUAGGCUGCAACCCGCCUACAUGAAGUCGGAAUUGCUAGUAAUCGCAGAUCAGCAUGCUGCGGUGAAUACGUUCCCGGGCCUUGUACACACCGCCCGUCACGCCAUGGGAGUCGGUAACACCCGAAGCCUGUAGUCUAACCGCAAGGAGGACGCAGUCGAAGGUGGGAUUGAUGACUGGGGUGAAGUCGUAACAAGGUA
This 1469-nucleotide ribosomal RNA is filed under the name metagenome. Its description in RNAcentral is "bacterial SSU rRNA". It matches the Rfam family "Bacterial small subunit ribosomal RNA". The record is from RNAcentral.